Molecule: ribosomal RNA, 249 nt
Filed under: uncultured bacterium
Lineage: Bacteria
Description: partial 16S ribosomal RNA
Rfam family: Bacterial small subunit ribosomal RNA
Source: RNAcentral
UAACACGUAGGUAACCUGCCCAUGUGCCCGGGAUAACUUCUGGAAACGGAUGCUAAAACCGGAUAGGUAGCAGACAAGCAUUUGACUGCUAUUAAAGUGGCUAAGGCCAUGAACAUGGAUGGACCUGCGGUGCAUUAGCUAGUUGGUGAGGUAACGGCCCACCAAGGCGACGAUGCAUAGCCGGCCUGAGAGGGCGGACGGCCACAUUGGGACUGAGACGCGGCCCAAACUCCUACGGGAGGCAGCAUG